This 75-nucleotide antisense RNA is filed under the name Amycolatopsis sp. YIM 10. Its description in RNAcentral is "ASpks TB sRNA". It matches the Rfam family "ASpks TB sRNA". The record is from Rfam by way of RNAcentral. Lineage: Bacteria; Bacillati; Actinomycetota; Actinomycetes; Pseudonocardiales; Pseudonocardiaceae.
UUUCAACGAGCCGAGCCAGAGCGGGCUUUCCUCGGUGUGCUCCUGCCCGUACGUCGCCAGUAGUGCCUGCACCUC